Long non-coding RNA from Aricia agestis (brown argus), 499 nucleotides. RefSeq lists it as uncharacterized. The record is from RefSeq and is a predicted model, not a curated record. The transcript is spliced from 2 exons. NCBI's taxonomy places the organism in Eukaryota, Metazoa, Arthropoda, Insecta, Lepidoptera, Lycaenidae.
GCUAAAAAGUCUGCUAAUAAACAGUUCAAAGUUAUGUACAUUAAAUAAUAUUUUAUUACUAAAACUAAGAAAAACGAGAUGAAAAGCAAAUAUAAAAGAGAAUUAUUUACAACCACAAAGUACUUAUAUAUAAUUAGGAAAUUUACAACACAUAACCGUUACAGAGAACUAUCUCUGUGUUACUAUAUACAAUCUCAAGGUAUAUAGGUAAUGACUGAAGCUGCUGAAGGGAGUGCGGGAUGGCUUCAGCAGUUUUAAAGAUAUCCAUCAAGUGAUUAAUAAAAAUAAAUCUUUGAAGAGUAAAACUGUUACAAGUAAAGAAAAUGUGAUCCAAGGUUUGUUCAGAAUGAUUACAGUAAUUACAAACGGGUGAAGACAAUAUAUUCAAUCUAUGAAGAUGAGCAUUAAAUCGACAGUGACCAAGUCUAAGACGGCAAAUAGUAGAAUAAAAUUUCCUGUCAUGAAAUGAAACACCUUUAGUAAACCAUGGGACUGACAA